Non-coding RNA from Pelobates cultripes (western spadefoot toad), 266 nucleotides. Lineage: Eukaryota; Metazoa; Chordata; Amphibia; Anura; Pelobatidae. The record is from the annotation of a GenBank genome assembly.
AGGAUGGGGUGUUUCAACAAAAUUGUUGUUUAUUUAUUUAUUAAAGGGAAACUAUAGCGCCAAGAAAACAAAGUUGUUCACCUGCCACUAUAGCUUCUCCCUAACAUCUUCCUAGCUUUUAUUUCUCAUGUACAUUUUACAAUGUCAGUUUUCAGUUUGCGACAGUGCAUUGUGGGGCCUUAUUUACUUAGCACUGAAUUAUGCCUGGAUGGACAAAAAUCAGUGCAGAUGACUGCAUUCUGAAUAUUAUAUUUACUAAAUCCAAA